RNAcentral lists this microRNA (25 nucleotides) under Haemonchus contortus (barber pole worm). RNAcentral describes it as "hco-miR-5908-3p". The record is from miRBase by way of RNAcentral. Lineage: Eukaryota; Metazoa; Nematoda; Chromadorea; Rhabditida; Trichostrongylidae.
UUCAUCAGGCCUCAGUCAUCUACAU